AGGACGAACGCUGGCGGCGUGCCUAACACAUGCAAGUCGAACGCGCUCCAUUCGGUAGCAAUACUGAUGAAGAGCGAGUGGCGAACGGGUGAGUAGCACGUGAGCAACCUGCCCCGAAGACUGGGACAACACCGGGAAACCGGUGCUAAUACCGGAUAUCCCUAUCGGACCGCAUGAUCUGAUAAGGAAAUGGAUUCCGCUUCGGGAGGGGCUCGCGGCCUAUCAGCUAGUUGGUGAGGUAACGGCCCACCAAGGCAUCGACGGGUAGCUGGUCUGAGAGGACGAUCAGCCACACUGGGACUGAGACACGGCCCAGACUCCUACGGGAGGCAGCAGUGGGGAAUCUUGCGCAAUGGGCGAAAGCCUGACGCAGCAACGCCGCGUGGAGGACGAAGGCUUUCUGAGUUGUAAACUCCUUUCAGCAGGGACGAUAGUGACGGUACCUGCAGAGAAGCACGGCAACUACGCGCCAGCAGCCGA
Molecule: ribosomal RNA, 480 nt
Filed under: uncultured bacterium
Lineage: Bacteria
Description: SSU rRNA
Rfam family: Bacterial small subunit ribosomal RNA
Source: RNAcentral